GAUGAACGCUGACAGAAUGCUUAACACAUGCAAGUCAACUUGAACUUCGGUUUGGGUGGCGGACGGGUGAGUAACGCGUAAAGAACUUGCCUCACAGCUAGGGACAACAUUUGGAAACGAAUGCUAAUACCCGAUAUUAUGAUUUUAGGGCAUCCUAGAAUUAUGAAAGCUAUAUGCGCUGUGAGAGAGCUUUGCGUCCCAUUAGCUAGUUGGAGAGGUAACGGCUCACCAAGGCGAUGAUGGGUAGCCGGCCUGAGAGGGUGAACGGCCACAAGGGGACUGAGACACGGCCCUUACUCCUACGGGAGGCAGCAGUGGGGAAUAUUGGACAAUGGACCAAGAGUCUGAUCCAGCAAUUCUGUGUGCACGAUGAAGUUUUUCGGAAUGUAAAGUGCUUUCAGUUGGGAAGAAAAAAAUGACGGUACCAACAGAAGAAGUGACGGCUAAAUACGUG
Molecule: ribosomal RNA, 454 nt
Filed under: uncultured bacterium
Lineage: Bacteria
Description: partial 16S ribosomal RNA
Rfam family: Bacterial small subunit ribosomal RNA
Source: RNAcentral